Canis lupus familiaris (dog) is the source of this 5755-nucleotide long non-coding RNA. RefSeq lists it as uncharacterized. The transcript is spliced from 3 exons. The record is from RefSeq and is a predicted model, not a curated record. NCBI's taxonomy places the organism in Eukaryota, Metazoa, Chordata, Mammalia, Carnivora, Canidae.
UAGAGAACUGAGUCAACACACAGUGUCUCCAGAAAGCCCUGGGCAGCCGUCCAGCAGCACUGGCCUGGCCUGGACCAAGUGUCACUUACGCCUGCUAUUUACGGCCCGGGGUGCUUUUCAGAGUGACCCUGUGGCCAGAACUAAGUCCAGAGGAGAUGCAGAGUCAGCUCGGAAUGGUUGAAAGAGAGUAGAUCCCGCUAACGUUUCCUGCAGACCCGGAUUUGACAAGAGCCUGCGAACUAGGGGUAGCAGGGACAGCGAGACGGAGCUCAGAGAGGCACGGGGACCUGCCCUCGGCCGCACGGCAACUCGGUGGCACCAUGUCACACCAAAGGUCAUCCUUACUGUGCCCGAUGCCUACACAGGUAUAAACUCACAGGUUUAAACCAUACAUGGAGUUCAUUUAAGGGAUUGCCCCUGCCUGUGGGCUUUAAGGCUGGCCAUCAGGGGGAACGUCCUUCGUCUGGCGCAAGCAGGAGAUAGAAACGUCGAGCGAAGCCCAGGAUGCAGCCUGUCACCCUCUGGAUGAGGAACCACUGGUGCAGAUGGCCUAACAGCUUGCCCCAAAUCACAUGGCCCAUCAGGGCCCAGCCAAGGCCACCCCCAGGUCUCCUGGGCUCUGGAGGCAGUGAUUUCCCCCGAAAUCAUAGAACAGGGCCCAGAGCGGAGGGCCCAAGCUCCAGCCAGGGUGCUGCCUCCCUCCCACUAUUGCCACUGCCUGACCCACCGGAAGGGCUCUUCUGUGGCCGUGGUAAAGGCCUGUGGUGACGCUCCUGGGGGCUGGUCCCAAGGCCCCACAGCUCGGGCUCGGGCAUCCGAGCUGGGAUACAGGCCUCCUGACCACCUGCUUCUGGGCCCACCCCGCCGCAGCUUCAUCCUAGGGACUCACAGUCACGGACCCGCAGGUCUCACGUGUUGCUUACAUUUUUCCAACACACGUUAAAAUAAGACGUGACGGUUGAAAGAAGGAGCAUUUGUCCUGGUGCCACCUAAAAUCCCCCGGACGGUUCCCAUCAGGGUCUGUGGGGGGCUCUUGCCCAGGCAGCCGCGAACACAAAGAACCUGCUAGGAAGGAGCCGACACUGGCAGGAGCCAGGUGCCCAGGCGUCCAGGGAGGGGACGUGGCGGGUGAGCAGUUCCUGGAAGGAUGGGAGCAACGCUCCGAGUGUGGCACGCUUGCACCACGAUUCUUCAGAGGGAGAGCGACAGUGUGGCCUCCGUGCAGCCGGCAGCUGGGUGUGGAGAGCGUGCCCGGGGCCCCGUGGCGGACGGCCUGGCCUGUCUAUAGAACUGCCAGGACCCCGACUGCUUCCUUGGGCCUCCCUGCAGAGACCAGCGCUUGACCCCCAUCCCAUCACUGUGCCGGGGAUGCAGGGACCGUCAGGACCCCAGAGAGAGCCUUGCUACACUCAUAGCAGCCCCUCCCCUGCCCCGGGUGAGGGCUGACCUUCAGAGACCCUUUAGAGGAAGGGGGCAGAUGAAGGGCCCUACAAAGGGGAAGGGAGGGAGCCCAGACCAGUGUGGGGACACCCAAGGGUGCUUGCUCUGCUCCUCCCCGCGGCAGCCAGACCCCGGACGUCCUGCUGGAGUCUGGGCAGGGCAUGUCCCUCUGCCUGGCGGGGGCCGCAGCUGGGCCCUAGUCCUGCCUCCACUGCCUCCUUCCAUCCCUGGUGGGAGCUCCUGGGGCACUGCUCAGCCUGCGGCCGGCUCCUCAGGGGACACUGGGCUCCCCAGGUCCCAGACCCGUUCAAGCCACUGUGUCCUGCUGGGUCCCGAGGGGGCUCCCUCAUCACGGCUGAUCACAGAGGAGGAUGCCGGUCUGCAGCUGCCUUCCUCGCUGGAAGGGCCUGCCACUCCCUGCGACGCUGGAAACCCAGAGUCCACAGAAUGCCACCGCCAGUGGGUUACGAACCUCAGGAAAAUCAUGGUUCUUGGAGUCUGCUCCCGAGCUCGCAAGCUAAGCAGUCCCAGAACCUUCCGAGAGACGGAUCUGAGGCGGCCCAGCUGCUAGAUCUGCUGACGUUUUGAAAGUCUGGCUUCCUCCUCUUUGUGAGGGGAUGGCUCUCCUUCCUUCUGAAUCAGCCUGCGGCCCACCUGGCCCCACCGGGUGAACACGCUUUUCUGCUGACCCCUAGACACCCUGCUCCCGGCCGAAGGGCACAGGCUGCGGACAAGCCUCCCUGGCCCUCUGGACCCUGCCAGCUGCCUCCACUCCUUGCCACUGUCCCUGGGGAGGUGCCCUCCCUGCUCCUGGCUCCAGUCCCUGGAAGCCUGGCCCGGCCCCUGGCUGGCCGCCUCCUGGCCCCAGUCUGCCGGCUGCACUUGCCAAAGGGUCAUAAGGCCUCGCUCACAGCCUGGCUUCUCCCUGGCUGCCUUAGGCUCAUUUUGGCUCCUGUGUCCUGCCCGGUCUGUUGCCACCAUGUUCCUGGGAACCUGCCUGCCUGGCACACCCACCCCCUGCUGCCCUGCUCUGGCCCGAUCUGUCUCCUGCUGGCUGCUGCGCCCCAGGACACACUUCCCUCAACCCUCCUGCCAGCUGGGCCGUCCCUCUUUGGUCUGUAAGCCACCCACGGUGACAGAUGACACCUGUCUACAGCACAGGUCCAAAAUUCUGCCUGGAGUUGGGGCCCCAUUUGUCCUUUGGUCUGAUGCCUUUAGCUCCCCCUCUUGCCCUUGGUUGACUCCACACGUCCAGGAAUCUGCCGGACAGCCCCUUUCAACCCUUUCCUCGAUUUCUGGCUUCCUCAGUCUCCUUUCUUCUGAGCCAAAAUGGUUCUCUUCUUUUAUGCUUUUAUUCUGAAACUAUUGCAAACACACAAAAAAGUUAGAAGUAUCAUGAGAAAAACCACUUUCUCCCCAAAGCAGUGGAGAGCAAACUGCCAAGUCCUAUCCUCCCUGAGUUCUUUAGUGCACGUUUCCUCCAUCUAAGGCCACGCCGCUGGGCCUCACCAGCCUGGUCAGGCUCUGUCUCUCCAGCCACAGCCUAUCCCCUUGGGUGGCGGGCAAUGCCAUCCUCAACCUGUGUGGGUCAUGCUCCCUCUCCCCCAACCAGGCCACCCUCUGUUCUCUCUAGAACCAAAGGAAUCUUCUGGGAUUGAUCAUCUCUCUUCAUGGGAGCUGAAGGCACUGCAGAUCUCCAACUCAGUAGCACACAAGAACCGCCUCCCUGCCAUCAGCGCAGCGACAGCAAGAUGGCCCCUAUCCUCCUACACAUGGACCACAACAUCCUUCCUCCCUUCCUCCCAUUGGCUCCUUUGGAGUGGGGCUCAACAGGACGGCCUCUGUCACUAGCAUGCUGUAUUAAUGUCUCCCUGGGCCAUAGUUUCCUCAUUGGCAAAGUGAGGAAUCUGGGUGAAAUGAUUUUUGGGGGCUCUUCCAUAAUAUGAAACAUAGUAGACUUUCACUGAGUACUUAUUACGCACCAAGCACUGGACAUUCUUUACAUGGAGCAUCUUUUUUUUUUUUUUUUUUUUUUUUUUUUUUUUUUUACAUGGAGCAUCUUAAUCCUCAUGCAAACCCUUUCAGAUGGAAUUAUUGUUAUCAUUUUCAUCUUAUAGAUGGGGAAACCGAGGCACAGAGGCGUUACCUAGCUUACUUAACAUCAGAAGGACACCCUGAUAGAACCAGGAUUCCCAUGCAGGGCAUUCGCCUUCCGUACGUUUUACCACAAAGUGCUUGCAGAAGGCAGAAGGUACCAGGAAUUUACCCUUUACCUGAAGAGGCAAUCGUAUAAAGUAAAUAUUGAUAAAUUCACGGCAGACUGAGAGGUCAACUUACUGGGUGCGAGGCACUGUGCCAGGUACUUACAAACAUUGUUUCCCUUUACUCUUAAUAACUGAUAAAUACGGACUAUUACGAUUCUCACUUUUCCAGCUGAGGGGGCUGAGCCAUGGAGAGGUUAGGUCUUUCCAACCAGUGGCAGAGCCAGGAUUUGAACCCGGGUCUAGCCGGUGCCAAAGCCGUGCUGUUGCCACCGUGGUCUACUGCCGACCUGAGAUGGGUGCUCUGCGCAGAGCAUGGGGAGUGAAGGAUGCCCCCCAUUCCCUCUGAUUGGCAGUGAGCUCGGGAGGAGGGUGCCAAGCUUCGGGCAAGAGUUUCCCAACAGCCUCCAGAGUGGAGAAAGGCACCCCAGGAGCACCACAGACCGAAGUAGGCAAACGUCGGGCAGCAGCGUGUGGCUGGCAGGAGGCAUCAGUGUCUCCUGGGGCUGGGCCUCCACCCCGAGGACAGCAAGGGGCCGCUGACGCUGGAGGGGGAGACCCUGCAGCUGGAACCCUGCUCCAAGAGACUCCAGACCAUGGAGAAAGAGCAACUCCCUUCCCAUUGUUCUAAGCUGUGGGGCCAGAGAACCCUGGAGAUUUAGCCUCUCUUUUGCCCUCCUCGUCCCUUUACCCAUGUGUGCUCAGGCAAGCAAUACCCAGUACCCAGCUCUGGGCUCCAAAAGAAAUUCUUCCCGACAGAUGUCUCGUCUCAGGCUGGGGCGUACAGCCAGAGGCCUCUGUCCAGGAAGGGGCACCCUGCAGAUGAGCUGGGAUUCGACUCUCUGACAGCUCGAAAAGGCCAGACUCUCCUCAGGAAGAGACUAGGGCUCGCAGUAGCCGGCACAGCUCCCUGGGCCAGGCCUCUCCCUGAAGACUGUAUCUGAGCAACAGCUACUCUCAGCAUCGAGUGCGGAGCUCAAUGAGCUCAUCCUCUGACAAGAGCUGGAAAGAUCUUACACGUCGCAUCAUGACAGCCAGAGAUCGUUCACCCAGGCCAGGUGGCAGUCAUUCGUUCUACGGAUAAGAACUGAGGUUUGAAAGAGCAAAGGCACCGAGCAGGAUCUCAGAGCCAGUGACUGCAGAGCCAGCACUCGGACCCCAGCCCGACUCCAGGAUUCAAGCCCCCUCCCACAUCGUCCAACUAAUUACCAAUGAGGAAGCUGCGAUCCAGAGAGGUGGACAGACUGACCUCAACGUGCCAUGGCUGGGCUCACACUGUGUUACCUCCUUCCUGUAGGGACCUCGUUUCCAACAGUGCCCAAAGGUGGAAAAGACACAGAACUGGAGCAGACCUCCCACCCUCACCCUUCUGCUGUGCGGUCCACACGUGGCCCGGCCGGCCAAGACACCCUGGCUUACGGGCCUCAGCGGUUCUACCCACUGGGCAGAGAGGACCUCGGCUGGGGGAGAGGAAGGCGGGAAGGAAGAGAGGAAGAUGGGAGGGAGGAAAGAACCACAAAGAAGGAAGGAAGAAGGAAGGAAGGGGCGCCUUUGUCGAGCACUUCCUGGGUGCCAGGCCGGCGGGGAGCAGCCCACACUAUCUGGCCAUUCAUUUCUCAUAAGCAGCCUGUGAGGCAGAUGCUCCUGACCCUAUUUUUAGGGACUGGCUCGUAACUGCUGGAGGUUGGGCUGGAAUCUGAUUCUGUCUCAGUCCAGAGCCUGAAGACUCUCUAGACUUCCUGGAAGUGGCACUUUGCCCCGUGCUCCUCUGACUCCUGGAAGUUGAGGGAGGUGCCAGAGGGGCUCCCGGGGCCUACAGGGGAGCCUGAGAGGGUGGAUUUCCCUGGGAUUCUUCAGAAGAAUAAGUUCCAUGGCUAAGACAUUUUUAAAAACAACCCUACUAGGAGUCUGAUAUUAAAGAGGUGGGGAGAUGUGGUUUAUGUAUACAAUGGAAUAUUACUCAGCUAUUAGAAAUGACAAAUACCCACCAUUUGCUUCAACGUGGAUGGAACUGGAGGGUAUUAUGCUGAGUGAAGUAAGCCAGUCGGAGAAGG